This 540-nucleotide ribosomal RNA is filed under the name Pseudarthrobacter phenanthrenivorans Sphe3. Its description in RNAcentral is "bacterial SSU rRNA". It matches the Rfam family "Bacterial small subunit ribosomal RNA", at positions 367 to 917 of the family's 1533-position model. Lineage: Bacteria; Bacillati; Actinomycetota; Actinomycetes; Micrococcales; Micrococcaceae. The record is from RNAcentral.
CGCCAUGGGCGCAGCCUGAUGCAGCGACGCCGCGUGAGGGAUGACGGCCUUCGGGUUGUAAACCUCUUUCAGUAGGGAAGAAGCGAAAGUGACGGUACCUGCAGAAGAAGCGCCGGCUAACUACGUGCCAGCAGCCGCGGUAAUACGUAGGGCGCAAGCGUUAUCCGGAAUUAUUGGGCGUAAAGAGCUCGUAGGCGGUUUGUCGCGUCUGCCGUGAAAGUCCGGGGCUCAACUCCGGAUCUGCGGUGGGUACGGGCAGACUAGAGUGAUGUAGGGGAGACUGGAAUUCCUGGUGUAGCGGUGAAAUGCGCAAAUAUCAGGAGGAACACCGAUGGCGAAGGCAGGUCUCUGGGCAUUAACUGACGCUGAGGAGCGAAAGCAUGGGGAGCGAACAGGAUUAGAUACCCUGGUAGUCCAUGCCGUAAACGUUGGGCACUAGGUGUGGGGGACAUUCCACGUUUUCCGCGCCGUAGCUAACGCAUUAAGUGCCCCGCCUGGGGAGUACGGCCGCAAGGCUAAAACUCAAAUGAAAUUGACGGA